AGUGAACGCUGGCGGUAGGCCUAACACAUGCAAGUCGAACGGCAGCACAGUAAGAGCUUGCUCUUACGGGUGGCGAGUGGCGGACGGGUGAGGAAUACAUCGGAAUCUACUUUUUCGUGGGGGAUAACGUAGGGAAACUUACGCUAAUACCGCAUACGACCUACGGGUGGGAUCAGGGGAUCUUCGGACCUUGCGUGAUUGAAUGAGCCGAUGUCGGAUUAGCUAGUUGGCGGGGUAAAGGCCCACCAAGGCGACGAUCCGUAGCUGGUCUGAGAGGAUGAUCAGCCACACUGGAACUGAGACACGGUCCAGACUCCUACGGGAGGCAGCAGUGGGGAAUAUUGGACAAUGGGCGAAAGCCUGAUCCAGCCAUACCGCGUGGGUGAAGAAGGCCUUCGGGUUGUAAAGCCCUUUUGUUGGGGAAGAAAAGCAGCAGGUUAAUACCUCGCUGUUUUGACGGUACCAAAAGAAUAAGCACCGGCUAACUUCGUG
This 492-nucleotide ribosomal RNA is filed under the name uncultured bacterium. RNAcentral's name for it is "partial 16S ribosomal RNA". It matches the Rfam family "Bacterial small subunit ribosomal RNA", at positions 29 to 507 of the family's 1533-position model. The record is from RNAcentral.